GACGAACGCUGGCGGCGUGCCUAAUACAUGCCAGUUGAGCGCUGAAGGUUGGUACUUGUACCAACUGGAUGAGCAGCGAACGGGUGAGUAACGCGUGGGGAAUCUGCCUUUGAGCGGGGGACAACAUUUGGAAACGAAUGCUAAUCCCGCAUAAAAACUUUAAACACAAGUUUUAAGUUUGAAAGAUGCAAUUGCAUCACUCAAAGAUGAUCCCGCGUUGUAUUAGCUAGUUGGUGAGGUAAAGGCUCACCAAGGCGAUGAUACAUAGCCGACCUGAGAGGGUGAUCGGCCACAUUGGGACUGAGACACGGCCCAAACUCCUACGGGAGGCAGCAGUAGGGAAUCUUCGGCAAUGGACGAAAGUCUGACCGAGCAACGCCGCGUGAGUGAAGAAGGGUUUCGGAUCGUAAAACUCUGUUGGUAGAGAAGAACGUUGGUGAGAGUGGAAAGCUCAUCAAGUGACGGUAACUACCCAGAAAGGGACGGCUAACUACGUG
Molecule: ribosomal RNA, 497 nt
Filed under: uncultured bacterium
Lineage: Bacteria
Description: partial 16S ribosomal RNA
Rfam family: Bacterial small subunit ribosomal RNA
Source: RNAcentral